AGCAGUGUAAUCCCAGGCUUGAGCAGGAAAUCAAUAGUUGUAGCCCCUGAAAUAUUGUAAAGAGAUGAAGAAAAUAUGAAUUUUUAAUUAUUUUUAAUGUCUUGGCUAUUUAAACUCACUGGACUUUUAAAAUGGAUUUCCCUAACAGGACUCAGGGAUCCUGCUGCUACCAGUUUGCUUGGUGACGUGAAGGCCAGCUAUGACUCUCACCCGGGGAAACCUUCCACCGAUUCUGCACCGUGCAGACGACGCAAUCAGAGCUUCUGUGCGGGGGACGUGCGGCAGCGGCUCCAGACAGAAAGAAAUGUGCAAAAAUGUGAAUCGUGCCAAAGAUUCAGCUCUCUGGAAGACCAGAUGCCCUGGAGAUCUCUUCUGGAGCAGAGACAGUCCUUCUGUAGCACAGUGGCCCCAGGUAGUGUAAUUCAUUCCUCCCUUGGUCACACCUUAAGCUCAAAUUUUUGGGCCUUUUUUUUUUUUUUUAAAAGAUUUUAUUUAUUUAUUUGA
Molecule: long non-coding RNA, 504 nt
Filed under: Neogale vison (American mink)
Lineage: Eukaryota; Metazoa; Chordata; Mammalia; Carnivora; Mustelidae
Description: Neovison vison (American mink) lncRNA (ENSNVIG00000015961.1)
Source: RNAcentral